GAUGAACGCUGGCGGCGUGCCUAAUACAUGCAAGUCGAGCGUACGGACGAGAAGCUUGCUUCUCUGAUGUUAGCGGCGGACGGGUGAGUAACACGUGGAUAACCUACCUAUAAGACUGGGAUAACUUCGGGAAACCGGAGCUAAUACCGGAUAAUGUUUUGAACCGCAUGGUUCAAAAGUGAAAGACGGUCUUGCUGUCACUUAUAGAUGGAUCCGCGCUGCAUUAGCUAGUUGGUAAGGUAACGGCUUACCAAGGCAACGAUGCAUAGCCGACCUGAGAGGGUGAUCGGCCACACUGGAACUGAGACACGGUCCAGACUCCUACGGGAGGCAGCAGUAGGGAAUCUUCCGCAAUGGGCGAAAGCCUGACGGAGCAACGCCGCGUGAGUGAUGAAGGUCUUCGGAUCGUAAAACUCUGUUAUUAGGGAAGAACAUAUGUGUAAGUAACUGUGCACAUCUUGACGGUACCUAAUCAGAAAGCCACGGCUAACUACGUGCCAGCAGCCGCGGUAAUACGUAGGUGGCAAGCGUUAUCCGGAAUUAUUGGGCGUAAAGCGCGCGUAGGCGGUUUUUUAAGUCUGAUGUGAAAGCCCACGGCUCAACCGUGGAGGGUCAUUGGAAACUGGAAAACUUGAGUGCAGAAGAGGAAAGUGGAAUUCCAUGUGUAGCGGUGAAAUGCGCAGAGAUAUGGAGGAACACCAGUGGCGAAGGCGUCUUUCUGGUCUGUAACUGACGCUGAUGUGCGAAAGCGUGGGGAUCGAACAGGAUUAGAUACCCUGGUAGUCCACGCCGUAAACGAUGAGUGCUAAGUGUUAGGGGGUUUCCGCCCCUUAGUGCUGCAGCUAACGCAUUAAGCACUCCGCCUGGGGAGUACGACCGCAAGGUUGAAACUCAAAGGAAUUGACGGGGACCCGCACAAGCGGUGGAGCAUGUGGUUUAAUUCGAAGCAACGCGAAGAACCUUACCAAAUCUUGACAUCCUUUGACAACUCUAGAGAUAGAGCCUUCCCCUUCGGGGGACAAAGUGACAGGUGGUGCAUGGUUGUCGUCAGCUCGUGUCGUGAGAUGUUGGGUUAAGUCCCGCAACGAGCGCAACCCUUAAGCUUAGUUGCCAUCAUUAAGUUGGGCACUCUAAGUUGACUGCCGGUGACAAACCGGAGGAAGGUGGGGAUGACGUCAAAUCAUCAUGCCCCUUAUGAUUUGGGCUACACACGUGCUACAAUGGACAAUACAAAGGGCAGCGAAACCGCGAGGUCAAGCAAAUCCCAUAAAGUUGUUCUCAGUUCGGAUUGUAGUCUGCAACUCGACUACAUGAAGCUGGAAUCGCUAGUAAUCGUAGAUCAGCAUGCUACGGUGAAUACGUUCCCGGGUCU
This 1372-nucleotide ribosomal RNA is filed under the name uncultured bacterium. Its description in RNAcentral is "bacterial SSU rRNA". It matches the Rfam family "Bacterial small subunit ribosomal RNA", at positions 28 to 1381 of the family's 1533-position model. The record is from RNAcentral.